This 490-nucleotide ribosomal RNA is filed under the name uncultured bacterium. Its description in RNAcentral is "partial 16S ribosomal RNA". It matches the Rfam family "Bacterial small subunit ribosomal RNA", at positions 30 to 507 of the family's 1533-position model. The record is from RNAcentral.
AUUGAACGCUGGCGGCAGGCCUAACACAUGCAAGUCGAACGGUAACAGGAAGAAGCUUGCUUCUUUGCUGACGGGUGGCGGGCGGGUGAGUAAUGUCUGGGAAACUGCCUGAUGGAGGGGGAUAACUACUGGAAACGGUAGCUAAUACCGCAUAACGUCGCAAGACCAAAAAGGGGGACCUUCGGGCCUCUUGCCAUCGGAUGUGCCCAGAUGGGAUUCGCUAGUAGGUGGGGUAACGGCUCACCUAGGCGACGAUCCCUAGCUGGUCUGAGAGGAUGACCAGCCACACUGGAACUGAGACACGGUCCAGACUCCUACGGGAGGCAGCAGUGGGGAAUAUUGCACAAUGGGCGCAAGCCUGAUGCAGCCAUGCCGCGUGUAUGAAGAAGGCCUUCGGGUUGUAAAGUACUUUCAGCGGGGAGGAAGGGAGUAAAGUUAAUACCUUGGCUCAUUGACGUUACCCGCAGAAGAAGCACCGGCUAACUCCGUG